This 69-nucleotide transfer RNA is filed under the name Cordylochernes scorpioides. Its description in RNAcentral is "tRNA-Ala". The record is from RNAcentral. Lineage: Eukaryota; Metazoa; Arthropoda; Arachnida; Pseudoscorpiones; Chernetidae.
GCUUUUGGUUGAGUGGUAGAAUGCUCGCCGGCAGGCGAGGCGCCCCGGGUUCGAUUCCCGGCCGAUGCA